CUUUGGCAUUCCUUCAAGCGUACAAGAGAGAAGGGCAAUUUGUCUUCACCAUGCACAUCCACAGCCCUUCACAGGCAGAGAUUGGAUGUGUUUGAAAAUGCUUCAGGAAAUAAUGGCAGCAGUAAGGAGCUGUUUUUCAUUUAAUGUUAUUUCUCAAGGAACUUCUGCAAAAUAUGAUAACUCCUUUCUCUCGAGGCUGCAAACCAUGUGUCAUCAAAAGAUUGUGAUGCCUAAAUUAGCUUCACGGUACGCUGGGAUCGCUGAAUUUCCUCUUAGACUCUGAUAGAAGAUUGCCUGUCAAUCAUAGGUUUUGGUGUCAUGCAUUUUUCCUCUCACUGUCAGCUUGUGGGACAGUGGGAGACAUUGCUUCUGAGAAUGUGGCUGAAGGUACUUUAAAGCUGGUCUUAGCCACAGUAUUUAGAUAACUGCAUCUGUAAGGCCAUUUAAAAUAGUUUUUCUGCUUAGAAAUGAAAAGAAGUCACCAUUACUGGUUUGACCAGAUGCCUGUUUAAAUGACUAAUGCCACCUCAGGUUAAUUACUGAUCUCUCUAUUUAGAGUUAAUACAUACUUUUUAAAGCAACACUUUCUCUUCCACACUAAAAAAUUGCUGCCUGGCUUCAAUAUAAAUUAAAAAGUGUCUUGGGUGACUUGUCUAUACCCAUACUUCUUUAUCAAAGCUUCACUGAUAUCCAUGCUUAUUGUACCAGAAUUUCCUAUUAGCAGGUAAAUAUGGCCUCAUGUCAUCAACUCAUAUUUUCAAUGUGUAAGAAUUUAUCUUCCCUUCAACGAAAUUCCUCAAAGGCUAGAAUUGUAAAAUAUGUAAUAUAUAACACACAUAUAUGUAUUAUACAUAUAUAAAUGUCUAUGACAUAUAAAAC
Molecule: long non-coding RNA, 879 nt
Filed under: Vulpes vulpes (red fox)
Lineage: Eukaryota; Metazoa; Chordata; Mammalia; Carnivora; Canidae
Description: lncRNA (ENSVVUG00000013398.1)
Source: RNAcentral